Molecule: ribosomal RNA, 444 nt
Filed under: Triticum aestivum (bread wheat)
Lineage: Eukaryota; Viridiplantae; Streptophyta; Magnoliopsida; Poales; Poaceae
Description: partial small subunit ribosomal RNA
Source: RNAcentral
AUGAUAAGUUGCCAGUAUUUCAAGACCACCACAAAGGAGCAGCUACCAAGGUACAUAAAAAUAAAACACAGCGACGAGGACGAUAAAAUUCCAAGGAAAAAAAAACACCGAGACGAUUACAUUUUUUUGCAAGCUUCCCCUGAGCUGCAAAGAAAGAAGUCGCACGCUGCAACAAAACUAGAGGAAGAAAUGAGCUCGAACCGAGAUGGCCGGGAGAGGAGGAGGAAACAUGAACUUUCUUUUGCCAGUCCAAGAGGCUGGCUAGAUAUGGCAGAGCACCUAGAGCACCGCACGCGGGCACCAAAAAUAGCACCCCCUCUUGGAGCAAAGCGGGCCGGUCACUGGGAGCGAGGACCCAAAUCAGGAAACCUAUCCAAGAACCAGACGCGUAGCAGCAGCAGCAGCAAGAUGCGAGCACCAACCAAAAGCCGGCCAUGGAAUUAA